AUUGAACGCUGGCGGCAGGCCUAACACAUGCAAGUCGAACGAGCGGCGGACGGGUGAGUAAUGUCUGGGAAACUGCCUGAUGGAGGGGGAUAACAACUGGAAACGGUAGCUAAUAACGCAUAGCAUCCGAUGUGCCCAGAUGGGAUUAGAUGGUAGGUGGGGUAACGGCUCACCUAGGCGACGAUCCCUAGCUGGUCUGAGAGGAUGACCAGCCACUGUGGAACUGAGAUACGGACAAGAAGCGUACCGGAGGCAGCAGCGGGGAAUAUUGGACAAGGGGCAUAAGCCUGAUGCACACAUGCCGCGUGUGUGACGAAGGCCUUCGGGUUGUAAAGCACUAUCAGCUGGGAGGCGGUACCCGCAGAAGAAGCACCGGCUAACUCCGUGCCAGCAGCCGCGGUAAUUC
Molecule: ribosomal RNA, 406 nt
Filed under: uncultured bacterium
Lineage: Bacteria
Description: partial 16S ribosomal RNA
Rfam family: Bacterial small subunit ribosomal RNA
Source: RNAcentral